UGGGAAAGCAGUGGGAGAUGGUCCAAGUCCUUGGGGCCCUGCACCUGAGUGGGCGAUCCGGAAGAAGCUCCUGGCUCCUGGCUUCAGAUGGGCCCAGCUCUGGCCGUUGUGGCCAUCUGGGGAGUGAACCAGCAGAUGGAAGACUUCUGCCUCUGUCUCUCUGUAAUUCUGCCUUUUAAAUAAAUAAUUUAAAAAGAAAGAUUCUCCUUUCCUUAUUUCCACCAGGACCAACUCAACCACCUAUGAACCCUUCUGACUCCUCACAGUACCCUGCAUUUUCUCCCUGGUGUCAGCCACAGUUAAGGACCCGCUAUCUCUGUGACUGUCAUGAAUGCCAGGUGCACAAGAAAUGACACUGACCACCUUGGUGACUGGAAUGAUGGCUUACUGUUCUGUGAUGUGUCCUCAUGAAACAUUCCAUCUCUUCUCAUGCUGGAUUCACAGGGUUUGGUGCAUUUCUCCAGGCCUGCACAAGGCUUGCCCAGAACUGGACUGGAUAACAGAACGGGAGGUGACUAGACUGCAAAAUUUGAAGCAUUAG
Molecule: long non-coding RNA, 541 nt
Filed under: Oryctolagus cuniculus (rabbit)
Lineage: Eukaryota; Metazoa; Chordata; Mammalia; Lagomorpha; Leporidae
Description: lncRNA (ENSOCUG00000035191.1)
Source: RNAcentral